Molecule: long non-coding RNA, 323 nt
Organism: Sphaeramia orbicularis (orbiculate cardinalfish)
Lineage: Eukaryota; Metazoa; Chordata; Actinopteri; Kurtiformes; Apogonidae
Exons: 3
Source: RefSeq, a predicted model, not a curated record
CUUUCCAUUUACCAUUUCACAUUUCUGCAUUGCCACUUUUGUUAAAAGUUUGUUUCCUCUGACUAGAAAACUACUGCUGUCAUUCUGCCUUUGUUCCUGCAUGAUGGAAUAGUAUGCUCUGGAGCUGCAACCAGGACCAGGACCAGGUCUCUUAAGGAGUCUUCUUUAUAUAAUACUGCUAAAUUGUGGCCUUUUUCCUCUUCGGUGCAACAUUACAUAAUAGGGAGUGAAAUGGACAGAAGCUUGAUUUCCUGCUAACGGUACCCCUGACUGCAAAACCACACCCAGACCGAUGACAGGACAGGAGCCAGACUGAAAAUGAG